AGAGUUUGAUCAUGGCUCAGAUUGAACGCUGGCGGCAUGCCUUACACAUGCAAGUCGAACGGUAACAGGUCUUCGGACGCUGACGAGUGGCGAACGGGUGAGUAAUACAUCGGAACGUGCCCAGUCGUGGGGGAUAACUACUCGAAAGAGUAGCUAAUACCGCAUACGAUCUGAGGAUGAAAGCGGGGGACCUUCGGGCCUCGCGCGAUUGGAGCGGCCGAUGGCAGAUUAGGUAGUUGGUGGGAUAAAAGCUUACCAAGCCGACGAUCUGUAGCUGGUCUGAGAGGACGACCAGCCACACUGGGACUGAGACACGGCCCAGACUCCUACGGGAGGCAGCAGUGGGGAAUUUUGGACAAUGGGCGAAAGCCUGAUCCAGCAAUGCCGCGUGCAGGAUGAAGGCCUUCGGGUUGUAAACUGCUUUUGUACGGAACGAAAAAGCUUCUCCUAAUACGAGAGGCCCAUGACGGUACCGUAAGAAUAAGCACCGGCUAACUACGUGCCAGCAGCCGCGGUAAUAC
This 521-nucleotide ribosomal RNA is filed under the name Delftia acidovorans. RNAcentral describes it as "bacterial SSU rRNA". It matches the Rfam family "Bacterial small subunit ribosomal RNA", at positions 8 to 526 of the family's 1533-position model. The record is from RNAcentral. Lineage: Bacteria; Pseudomonadati; Pseudomonadota; Betaproteobacteria; Burkholderiales; Comamonadaceae.